GUGAGGCUGGAAGGGUCUUUGUGUGAGCUCAGGACGGCGCUGGACAGGUGGGCCCUGGCUCCAGCUCCGGCUGCAGCGUCUUCCCCGCGCUCCCGAGCCUAUCCCUCGGGCGCCGGCCUGGGCUGUCCAGCGAGAGGGGCGGAGGGGCAGGGCCCCGGGCUAGGUCCAGGCCCGCAGCUGGCAUCAGGGGGGGCCUGGGUGGGAAGACCGGUUGGGGUGGGGGUGCACAGACCCGGGGAAUCUGAGACGCAAGGUUUCCGGCUCUUGGCCGCUAGUGAGGAAGGCUCGAGGCCGAUCCUGGCCCAAAGCAGGGCGCCGGGCCAUUGUCAGUCCUGGGAAGGGGGAUUGGGAGGAGCCCCAGAGGGGCGGCCAUUCCCUGGGGCGGCGUGGAAGGGAGGCAGCACCUCCAGGCGACAAGUAGAGCUGGGCCCUGGCGGGCUGCCACGGGGGUGUCUGGCAGUCUCUCCUGGGUCUAGGGCUGUUCCUCUGAGGUCACGAGGUGGUCCUUCGGGUGUGUCUGGGGUAAGCCCCUCUAGAAUCUGGGGGCGGCCUCCCGGGGGCCAUACUGCAUCACGUAGUGGAGUUGGGAAGAUAAAACCAGCACGUGUAAUGUAAUACAUGACAAUGGAAGAUUCUACGUAAUUAAGGGUUAACUCUGAAAUCAGAAGACAAGUUUUCCAAGACUUGGGAAGGUGGAGAGAUCAGAGAUCAGUGAGAGAACAAAGAAUCGGGGUCCAGAUGUCAGGGAUGGAAGUUGGAGAAAGAUGAGGCAGCAGCAGACACUUUCUCCUGUUGGCCUUAAAGAAGCAACCGCCUGUGCUGGGAGAGGGUCACUGGGCUGAGAUUGGUAGGUGGCUCUGGGAGCUGAGGGCCUAAACCUAUGACCACAAGGAACUGAAUUCAUCCCAAAGCCAGAGAGGUGGAAGACGACUCAGAAGAUGCAGAUGCCAAUGCCACAUCCUGGUAAAGGUUCUCGGAAGGACCCAAUGAGACUGGGCUCACUGGGAUAAUCCAGGAUCAUCUCCCAUCUCAAGGUUCUUCAUCGCAUACUUGCAAAGCCCCUUUUGCCAUGUCAGGUAACUUGUUCACAGGUUUGAAGAUUAGAAUGUGGGCAUGUUUGGGGGGCAUAAUUAGGCCUAGCACAAUGCCCAUGUACCCAUCUCCUUGCUUAAACAUUAAACACUUUGCCAAUAUUGUUUCUCCUAUCUCUCACUUUGUUCUCUAAAAAACUCCAGGAAUUUGUUAUUAAAUUUUAUUAAAGCAAAUCCCAGAAAUAAUAUAAUUUGCCUGUAAAUAUGUUAAUAUGUUUCUCUGAGGCCUUUAAAAAUCAUAGCCACUAUGGUAUUAUCGUAAUAAAAUU
RNAcentral lists this long non-coding RNA (1360 nucleotides) under Homo sapiens (human). RNAcentral's name for it is "HSALNT0248150". Lineage: Eukaryota; Metazoa; Chordata; Mammalia; Primates; Hominidae. The record is from RNAcentral.